UAAAGGUUCUAAUUUCUCCACAUCUUCAUCAACAUUUGUUUCCUUUUUUUAAAAUCAUAGCCACCUAGUGGGUGUGACACGGCAUCUCAUAGUGACUUUGAUUG
Molecule: small nucleolar RNA, 104 nt
Filed under: Otolemur garnettii (small-eared galago)
Lineage: Eukaryota; Metazoa; Chordata; Mammalia; Primates; Galagidae
Description: Small nucleolar RNA R442 (ENSOGAG00000023723.1)
Source: RNAcentral